Molecule: ribosomal RNA, 1372 nt
Filed under: uncultured bacterium
Lineage: Bacteria
Description: bacterial SSU rRNA
Rfam family: Bacterial small subunit ribosomal RNA
Source: RNAcentral
GAUGAACGCUGGCGGCGUGCCUAAUACAUGCAAGUCGAGCGAACGGACGAGAAGCUUGCUUCUCUGAUGUUAGCGGCGGACGGGUGAGUAACACGUGGAUAACCUACCUAUAAGACUGGGAUAACUUCGGGAAACCGGAGCUAAUACCGGAUAAUAUUUUGAACCGCAUGGUUCAAAAGUGAAAGACGGUCUUGCUGUCACUUAUAGAUGGAUCCGCGCUGCAUUAGCUAGUUGGUAAGGUAACGGCUUACCAAGGCAACGAUGCAUAGCCGACCUGAGAGGGUGAUCGGCCACACUGGAACUGAGACACGGUCCAGACUCCUACGGGAGGCAGCAGUAGGGAAUCUUCCGCAAUGGGCGAAAGCCUGACGGAGCAACGCCGCGUGAGUGAUGAAGGUCUUCGGAUCGUAAAACUCUGUUAUUAGGGAAGAACAUAUGUGUAAGUAACUGUGCACAUCUUGACGGUACCUAAUCAGAAAGCCACGGCUAACUACGUGCCAGCAGCCGCGGUAAUACGUAGGUGGCAAGCGUUAUCCGGAAUUAUUGGGCGUAAAGCGCGCGUAGGCGGUUUUUUAAGUCUGAUGUGAAAGCCCACGGCUCAACCGUGGAGGGUCAUUGGAAACUGGAAAACUUGAGUGCAGAAGAGGAAAGUGGAAUUCCAUGUGUAGCGGUGAAAUGCGCAGAGAUAUGGAGGAACACCAGUGGCGAAGGCGACUUUCUGGCCUGUAACUGACGCUGAUGUGCGAAAGCGUGGGGAUCAAACAGGAUUAGAUACCCUGGUAGUCCACGCCGUAAACGAUGAGUGCUAAGUGUUAGGGGGUUUCCGCCCCUUAGUGCUGCAGCUAACGCAUUAAGCACUCCGCCUGGGGAGUACGACCGCAAGGUUGAAACUCAAAGGAAUUGACGGGGACCCGCACAAGCGGUGGAGCACGUGGUUUAAUUCGAAGCAACGCGAAGAACCUUACCAAAUCUUGACAUCCUUUGACAACUCUAGAGAUAGAGCCUUCCCCUUCGGGGGACAAAGUGACAGGUGGUGCAUGGUUGUCGUCAGCUCGUGUCGUGAGAUGUUGGGUUAAGUCCCGCAACGAGCGCAACCCUUAAGCUUAGUUGCCAUCAUUAAGUUGGGCACUCUAAGUUGACUGCCGGUGACAAACCGGAGGAAGGUGGGGAUGACGUCAAAUCAUCAUGCCCCUUAUGAUUUGGGCUACACACGUGCUACAAUGGACAAUACAAAGGGCAGCGAAACCGCGAGGUCAAGCAAAUCCCAUAAAGUUGUUCUCAGUUCGGAUUGUAGUCUGCAACUCGACUACAUGAAGCUGGAAUCGCUAGUAAUCGUAGAUCAGCAUGCUACGGUGAAUACGUUCCCGGGUCU